UCGAGAACUGACCGAGAGACCGCGAACUUGUAAUCGAACUACACCGUGUCGGGCGGGCGUUAUGUCCGCCCUACUCGGGACCUCGCAUCGUGUCCGCUGUCGCCUUUGAGUGUUUCGGGCACGAUUUGCGGGGACGAACGAAACCCCGGCGCGGCCUGCGCCAAGGAACAUAUGUCAGGACGGACGUGACGCCAACGCCUUUACGGUGAGGCGAUGUCCACUCUCUAUC
Molecule: unclassified non-coding RNA, 229 nt
Filed under: Lilium philadelphicum
Lineage: Eukaryota; Viridiplantae; Streptophyta; Magnoliopsida; Liliales; Liliaceae
Description: ITS 1
Source: RNAcentral